CUUACUGCUCAGUAACACGUAGUCAACCUGCCCUCGGGCCGAGAACAAUCUCGGGAAACUGAGGCUAAUUCUCGAUAGAUCAAGAUUCCUGGAAUGGGUUUUGGUCCAAAUGAGGUAACAGCAUCUUUGUUAUUUUCGCCCGAGGAUGGGACUGCGGCCGAUCAGGCUGUUGGUGAGGUAAAGGCUCACCAAACCAGUAACCGGUACGGGCUUUGAGAGAAGGAGCCCGGAGAUGGACACUGAGACAAGGGUCCAGGUCCUACGGGGCGCAGCAGGCGCGAAACCUUCGCAAUGCGCGUAAGCGCGACGAGGUUAUUCCGAGUGAUUCCCGCUGAGGGAAUCUUUUCUCAGAUCUAAAAUGUCUGGGGAAUAAGGGGAGGGCAAGUCUGGUGUCAGCCGCCGCGGUAAUACCAGCUCCUCGAGUGGUCAGGGCGUUUAUUGGGCCUAAAGCAUCCGUAGCCGGCUCAUUAGGUCUCCUGUUAAAUCCAACGGCUCAACCGUUGGUCUGCAGGAGAUACCAGUGGGCUAGGAGGCGGGAGAGGCGGACGGUACUCCGAGGGUAGGGGUAAAAUCCUUUGAUCCCCGGAAGACCACCAGUGGCGAAGGCGGUCUGCCAGAACGCGCUCGACGGUGAGGGAUGAAAGCUGGGGGAGCGAACCGGAUUAGAUACCCGGGUAGUCCCAGCUGUAAACGAUGCGAGCUAGGUGACACAAGGCCUUCGGGGCCUUGUGGUGCCGCAGGGAAGCCGUUAAGCUCGCCGCCUGGGGAGUACGGACGCAAGUCUGAAACUUAAAGGAAUUGGCGGGGGAGCACAAGGG
This 818-nucleotide ribosomal RNA is filed under the name uncultured archaeon. Its description in RNAcentral is "bacterial SSU rRNA". It matches the Rfam family "Archaeal small subunit ribosomal RNA", at positions 82 to 887 of the family's 1478-position model. The record is from RNAcentral.